AAAGCUCAAAUUUAAAAUCUGGCGGUCUCUGGCUGUCCGAGUUGUAAUCUAGAGAAGUGUUGCCCGCGCUGGACCGUGUACAAGUCUCCUGGAAUGGAGCGUCAUAGAGGGUGAGAAUCCCGUCUUUGACACGGACUACCAGGGCUUUGUGGUACGCUCUCAAAGAGUCGAGUUGUUUGGGAAUGCAGCUCAAAAUGGGUGGUAAAUUCCAUCUAAAGCUAAAUAUUGGCGAGAGACCGAUAGCGAACAAGUACCGUGAGGGAAAGAUGAAAAGAACUUUGGAAAGAGAGUUAAACAGUACGUGAAAUUGCUGAAAGGGAAACGCUUGAAGUCAGUCGCGUUGGCCGGGGAUCAGCCUCGCUCUUUUGCGUGGUGUACUUUCCGGUCGACGGGUCAGCAUCAAUUUUGAUCGCUGGAAAAAGGCCUGAGGAAUGUGGCAGCUCCGGCUGUGUUAUAGCUUCUGGUCACAUCAGCGGUGGAUUGAGGAACUCACACGCCGCAAGGCCGGGUUUCGACCACGUUCGUGCUUAGGAUGCUGGCAUAAUGGCUUUAAGCGACCCGUCUUGAAACACGGACCAAGGAGUCUAACAUGCCUGCGAGUGUUUGGGUGGAAAACCCGAGCGCGUAAUGAAAGUGAAAGUUGAGAUCCCUGUCGCGGGGAGCAUCGACGCCCGGACCAGACUUUUGGGACGGAUCCGCGGUAGAGCAUGUAUGUUGGGACCCGAAAGAUGGUGAACUAUGCCUGAAUAGGGUGAAGCCAGAGGAAACUCUGGUGGAGGCUCGUAGCGAUUCUGACGUGCAAAUCGAUCGUCAAAUUUGGGUAUAGGGGCGAAAGACUAAUCGAACCAUCUAGUAGCUGG
RNAcentral lists this ribosomal RNA (860 nucleotides) under Leucocoprinus leucothites. RNAcentral's name for it is "Leucoagaricus leucothites partial large subunit ribosomal RNA". It matches the Rfam family "Eukaryotic large subunit ribosomal RNA", at positions 104 to 954 of the family's 3401-position model. Lineage: Eukaryota; Fungi; Basidiomycota; Agaricomycetes; Agaricales; Agaricaceae. The record is from RNAcentral.